RNAcentral lists this non-coding RNA (338 nucleotides) under Citrobacter amalonaticus. Its description in RNAcentral is "rne5". It matches the Rfam family "RNase E 5' UTR element". Rfam says of the family: This family represents a conserved element found in the 5' UTR of RNase E mRNA. RNase E is a key regulatory enzyme in the pathway of mRNA degradation in E. coli that is able to auto-regulate the degradation of its own mRNA in response to changes in RNase E activity. The record is from RNAcentral. Lineage: Bacteria; Pseudomonadati; Pseudomonadota; Gammaproteobacteria; Enterobacterales; Enterobacteriaceae.
GCUUCCGUGCUGAAUCUUGUUAAAACAAGGAAUUUUACGGAAAGACCCAAUUUUGUCCGGACGAUCAUCCACGCAGCAAUGGCGUAAGACGUAUUGAUCUUUCAGACAGUUAGCGGGCUGCGGGUUGCAGUCCUUACCGGUAGAUCGGAUCUUCUCUGGAGAGUAAUACCCAGGCGGUUCCCCUGAUAAUUGCGCUGCGUUUCCGUAUGAAAUGCAGGCAACCGACACUCUGCGCCUCUUUGAGCUGACGAUAACCGUGAGGUUGGCGACGCGAAUAGACACGAGGCCAUCGGUUCACACCCGGAAAGGCAAUACUCUGCCCGCAGCUUAGUCGUCAA